GACGAACGCUGGCGGCGUGCUUAACACAUGCAAGUCGAACGGAAAGGCCUGCUUUCCCUUGUGGAUUGCGGGUACUCGAGUGGCGAACGGGUGAGUAACACGUGAGUGAUCUGCCCCCAACUUGGGUAUAAGCCUGGGAAACUGGGUCUAAUUCCCGAUAGGACUGCAGGGUGGUGCCUGUGGUGGAAAACGAUUUUCUAGUGGUUGGGGAUGAGCUCGCGGCCUAUCAGCUUGUUGGUGGGGUAAUGGCCUACCAAGGCGGCGACGGGUAGCCGGCCUGAGAGGGGGGACGGCCACAUUGGGACUGGGAUACGGCCCAGACUCCUACGGGAGGCAGCAGUGGGGAAUAUUGCACAAUGGGCGGAAGCCUGAUGCAGCGACGCAGCGUGGGGGAUGACGGCCUUCGGGUUGUAAACUCCUUUCGACCGCGAGGAAGCCACCUGGUUGGAAGGGUGGUGACGGUAGUGGUAGAAGAAGCACCGGCUAACUACGUG
Molecule: ribosomal RNA, 494 nt
Filed under: uncultured bacterium
Lineage: Bacteria
Description: partial 16S ribosomal RNA
Rfam family: Bacterial small subunit ribosomal RNA
Source: RNAcentral